AGUCGAGCGGAACGAGUUAUCUGAACCUUCGGGGGACGAUAACGGCGUCGAGCGGCGGACGGGUGAGUAAUGCCUAGGAAAUUGCCCUGAUGUGGGGGAUAACCAUUGGAAACGAUGGCUAAUACCGCAUAAUACCUACGGGUCAAAGAGGGGGACCUUCGGGCCUCUCGCGUCAGGAUAUGCCUAGGUGGGAUUAGCUAGUUGGUGAGGUAAUGACCCACCAAGGCGACGAUCCCUAGCUGGUCUGAGAGGAUGAUCAGCCACACUGGAACUGAGACACGGUCCAGACUCCUACGGGAGGCAGCAGUGGGGAAUAUUGCACAAUGGGCGCAAGCCUGAUGCAGCCAUGCCGCGUGUGUGAAGAAGGCCUUCGGGUUGUAAAGCACUUUCAGUCGUGAGGAAGGUAGUGUAGUUAAUAGCUGCAUUAUUUGACGUUAGCGACAGAAGAAGCACCGGCUAACUCCGUGCCAGCAGCCGCGGUAAUACGGAGGGUGCGAGCGUUAAUCGGAAUUACUGGGCGUAAAGCGCAUGCAGGUGGUUUGUUAAGUCAGAUGUGAAAGCCCGGGGCUCAACCUCGGAAUAGCAUUUGAAACUGGCAGACUAGAGUACUGUAGAGGGGGGUAGAAUUUCAGGUGUAGCGGUGAAAUGCGUAGAGAUCUGAAGGAAUACCGGUGGCGAAGGCGGCCCCCUGGACAGAUACUGA
Molecule: ribosomal RNA, 703 nt
Filed under: uncultured bacterium
Lineage: Bacteria
Description: bacterial SSU rRNA
Rfam family: Bacterial small subunit ribosomal RNA
Source: RNAcentral